GAUGAACGCUAGCUACAGGCUUAACACAUGCAAGUCGAGGGGAAACGGCAUUGAGUGCUUGCACUCUUUGGACGUCGACCGGCGCACGGGUGAGUAACGCGUAUCCAACCUUCCCAUUACUGUGGGAUAACCUGCCGAAAGGCAGACUAAUACCGCAUAGUCUUCGAUGACGGCAUCAGAUUUGAAGUAAAGAUUUAUUGGUAAUGGAUGGGGAUGCGUCUGAUUAGCUUGUUGGCGGGGUAACGGCCCACCAAGGCGACGAUCAGUAGGGGUUCUGAGAGGAAGGUCCCCCACAUUGGAACUGAGACACGGUCCAAACUCCUACGGGAGGCAGCAGUGAGGAAUAUUGGUCAAUGGACGGAAGUCUGAACCAGCCAAGUAGCGUGCAGGAUGACGGCCCUAUGGGUUGUAAACUGCUUUUGUAUGGGGAUAAAGUUAGGGACGUGUCCC
RNAcentral lists this ribosomal RNA (450 nucleotides) under Prevotella melaninogenica. RNAcentral's name for it is "bacterial SSU rRNA". It matches the Rfam family "Bacterial small subunit ribosomal RNA", at positions 28 to 466 of the family's 1533-position model. Lineage: Bacteria; Pseudomonadati; Bacteroidota; Bacteroidia; Bacteroidales; Prevotellaceae. The record is from RNAcentral.